GCAUGGAUACAAUGUUGCCAUGUUGGAGUCUAGGAGCAGUGGGGGCAGUGCCUGGCUGAACACAGAACAAGAAACACAGAGUACAGCCAUUUGGGACAGGGGUACAAGGUAAGUAAACCUGGGACAGGGGUACAAGGUAAGUAAGGGGUUUACAAACAGUGACAUGUUAACAAUCUUCUAAUUAUUCUUAACAGUGGUCUUUCCAAGCUCAAACUGGUCUUUACGGAUUGAUGAAGAGCUCUCAGAAGUGCUGGUACCACUGUGUAUAUUCCACAUGCCAAGCAGAAAUUCAGUCAGCCUUCCGUGGGGCCUGGCCAGAGUAACAGCUAUAGCUGAUCACCCCAGGCCAGCACCAUGGGUAGCUGGUGAUUCCCUUUGUGAAUGAGCAUGAGAAAAGAACAGAACAAAAACAUGUCCUGUGUGUGGUUGUAUGGAUGGGAAGGAGUUGAGUCCAAAGUUCCUGGUUCAUUCCAAAGGACUGAAAUGAGAAAUGAUCUACACUAUCAAGGCACUGUUUGA
Molecule: long non-coding RNA, 519 nt
Filed under: Cyanistes caeruleus (blue tit)
Lineage: Eukaryota; Metazoa; Chordata; Aves; Passeriformes; Paridae
Description: lncRNA (ENSCCEG00000014177.1)
Source: RNAcentral